ACCUAACCCUAGUUAGUAAUAAUAGUGUUAAUAAGAAACUCAAUUUAGUAAUAAUAGUGUUAAUAAGAAACUCAAUUUGGUGAGUGUCAUUUUAGUAAAUUUAGGAAUUGUAUGAAAUGCACAUGUUUAUAUAAGAGCACCCAUAGUGAGAGAAACCAAAGUCUGUCCUUUUCAAUUCUUUCUCUGCUUCGUUGACAGCACAACACACCAAUUCCAUCUUCCAUUCUUCAAGUUCACUCAUCCAAACAUGCAUGUGGGUUAAACUCCAUCAUAGCCUUAUUUUGAAUCAAAUGGAAACAAGUUCAAAGAGUAAAACAAUCUCUCUUCUCACCUUGGCCGAACCAAAGCCUCCAUCUUAAAUUCCAACCCAUUUCAUGAUUAGAUCUAAAACUUCUACCAACGAAGGCUAUGGGAGAAAUUUCUAGUGAUUCAAGGUAAGUAUAAGCAAGGUAAGAGCCAUAAAUCCUAUUUUCUUCCUUCUAUUCAAGUUAAAUCUCAAAACCCCAAUCUUUAUGCCUUCUCUUUUGGUUGGUGCAUGUGACAAAUUGAGUAACCACAAGUUGAUGGAAGAUAAGGGAAAUCAAGUUGAGAGCCUCGUGUGAAUCAAUUUUAAGAACAAGGUAGUUUUUGAAAAGGUUGGAGGAGCUUGGGUCAAACCCGUAUUCUAGAACAGGGCUCUACUAAAACGGUAACUGCUCCUUCUGUGUAACUCUGAUGUAAAUUCCGCUUGAUGAUAUGGAAAGCUAACAAAAUUCCCUUCGAUUUGAGUACACACUUCGUAGGUUUUAGCUUAAUAUUGAAGUCUAUAGACGAGAUUGAAGUUAGGGUACUGUUGCUGCAAAUUGUUCAGAAAACUGGAUGCGAGUUUAGUGUGUUGCAGCUGUAAAUUUCGUCUUUUGACGAGUCCGGGAGCUGUCGAUGACAUUUCACAGUAAAGGGUUUCAAUGACAAAGUUCAAAGUUGGAAAUAAAACUACAGACUAGGAUCAAAUCAAAGAAUGAGCUUGUUGGAGAGAACUAAAAGUGGGAGCUUGGUACUAUCGUUGUGAUGCUCAAUUGUUGAGAAAGCUUCCAAUUUUAAAAGAUAAACAGAUUGAUCGAGAUAUCAUGGUCUGCAAGCAUGGAGUUCAGAUACUUGGAUUAUGCUAGUUGAGCUGACGUCAUGUUGUCUUAUAUUUUGUAUAAGAUUUAGUUUCUUUAUGUUUUUAGUUGUUAGCUCAAUUUAGUAUUAAUCUCUUGGAUUUUGUAAUCCUAUUUAUUUAUUUCAGACGAUAUGUAAUGAAAAUUUAGUGUUUCCCGAUUCAAUUAUGUACACUCUUGUUGAUAUUCUAGAUAAAUUGACAUGAGGUGUUAUAAUUGGUAUCAGAGCCUGGUUGAUUCAGUAUCGGACCAUGCCGCGGAUCAUUAAAAUUCAAUCCAAAGUAGUACGGACCCUUUGGAGUCUUGACUGUUUACGCUGAAAUCAUCGCGUGCUGAGCCCGAUCAACUCAGUGUCGUGUAUGGUAGGCAGGGUAUUACGGCUGAGAACCGAAGUGGACCAAGGAGGUCGAGUAGUAUGAACGGAGGUCGUUAGAAGCGGAUAUUGUGACUGCAGUAGGUCGACGCCACAAGAGUAAGUUCAGUAACGCCAACAAGUGGCGCGCAGAAUUGGGAAAAGUAUGUGGCGUAAUGCCAGUAGUAAGAGGCAUGUCAAGAGAUGCACGAACCGAAUACGCUCAACUGACAGUAGCAUUUAUAAGAAUGUGGAGAAUUUUGGGAAUGGAAAAUUCAGUAUAAAAGUAAGUUUUUGAUCGGAGUAGAACCGAGACUGAGUAUGGAAGUACGAGGACUGUAAAAUUAUAGUAGGCCUGAUGGGCGCAUUAAUACAGAUGAUGAAAUUAUGAGAACGGCGCGCAGUAUAUUGAAGUGUUGUACACCAGUAAUAUCCAACCGGGAAAUAUGUAUUAUGUGAAACUAAUUACAAGAAGCACCUUAAUUCAAAUAAGACUUAUCAAAAGUUAGUGAAUCAACUCUUUCAAAUCCGUCAAACCUUCAUUUCAACUCGGUAGUUUUUCCCAAGUGACAUAGGUCAACUAAUUACACUAUCGGAGAAAGGCAAACUAGACUUCAUGCAAUCCCUUAAUUUCUAAUGUCAGCCUGUUGUUCCAUUCUAGUAUAAUGAGAAACACUAAACGCCCCAGCAAGAUAACUUCAGUCUCUCAGUUCGUAACUAGUAUCCUAGCCAGACUAGUAGCCACCAAGUUUCAUUUAGAGUAACAAUUGAAAUUUAAUUCUAAUGCUAUCAGUCACCUAAGCCGACAUAUUAAAUGUCAUUAUCAUGUGAUUCAGGAACAAGUAGCGCAGUUCAGUUAUGACUUCAACAAGUUGACAGUUUAUCAGCUAAGUUCUAAUGAGAAUUAGUCUGACCUAGUUCCAAAGAAUAGUCAGUUUAGAGAAUCAUGGAGUAUGAACAUUACGUUUCCCGAGCCUAUCUAAUAUCGAUAUAGAGAGAUAAAUUUUUCCGGUACUUGAGACCUAUCACUUACAUUUAGUGUAAGAAUUUAAUUAAGUUGGGAACUUUCUAAACUCCUUAAUAUCAGCGAAUUAAACGCACAUUUAGAGUGUUAUCCUUAUGUAACUUUGACGAAAUAUCUUCAGCUUUCUAGCUUUGUUAUCAGUAAUCAGUUCAGGCCUUUGUAAGUUUGAAUUUUUUUGCUUUUGUUUUUGUUUUUGUUAAGAGUAAUAAGUUAUGAUCCUUUUAAGAACUAGUUAUUCAUGUUGACCUUCAAAGCAGUAACCUUAUGUUUAACACCAAGAAAAUUCUCCAAUCUUUUAGUUUCAUUACCGAUGAACGGUUCAUAACCACAGAAGUCUAUUUAGCAAUUAGGGGUCACGAGUAAUUUAAGUUUAAACUCUCGCUUGUUUGUUAACUAACCUGUCAAGCGGCACGGUUAAGGUACCAUGAAUGUUGGAAACGUUACUGCAAUCAAUUCAGUUCACUUUUUUUUUUUAUAAGGUCUUACCAACUCAAUUCGGAUUAAAAUCCAAAACCAUUCUAAGUUAUAAGAAUAGUAUCAAGAUUAGUGCUAUGGUGCGAACCUCCCAAUUCCAUUCGCCGUAACCAAUGUAAGCCUGGAAGUGUUAGCCAAUGAACAUGAGUAUUUCUUUGGAAAACCAUCGGAUAUCUUUGUGACUGAUUAAUUAACAUUAUCAAGCAACCCAGAGUCGGGCAACUUAAUUAGUAGUAGUAUCACCAUCCGUAACCCAAGACAAUUGUGUUUGACCUUUCCGUAACAAUCAGUUUAUUUCAGCCCACUCUCUAUUGCAAGACCACAUCAGACAAUUCUGUCAAAACCCAAACCUUAAUUUAAUGAAGUUAAGGACUUGUAUCCGAAGGUAUAGAAUCAUAAGCUAUGUGACAAGGAAAUUUUUAGAUCAGUCGGUUUAAAUAUUCAACGCUUGUACUUUAAGAUAACCUCUUAACAUCAGCCAACAUCUCAUGUUUUUGUGUAUACGCCAACCAGGCUGGAUACCGACCUAAUGAAAUUUGUUAAGUGAUAGAGGAUUGACUGUAGAUGAGGUCGGUGAAGUGAUAAGUUAGACAGUAACCGACUUUCGAAGAAUAAACGAAUGCUAGGAAUUGGUAUUAUGAGAUAGCUGUAAACAGUACUAGUUGACGUAUCGCGGACAUGUAAGAUUAUGGUAGAAUGUUAAGUAUGUGGUGGUGCGUUUGACGUCACGAUGUGAUGUAAGUAUUAUUUUGUGAUAUCUAUGGUACAAAAGUAAUAACAAAAGAAGUAACAACGGAUAAAACAAGACGAUGUGUGGCAUUGCCCGGAAUUUGUAGACCAAGGUUGUAAUGACGCAGUCAGAAGAUGACUAUAAGUAGUUAAGAUCAGAGUGCGCAGCAGGUAUUGAUUGAAAAUGUUUUCAACAGAUUGGCUUGUAGGCCAACAACUCUUUGAGAGAGGAAAGUUUUAUUCCAAGGAAUUGGAUGUGGAAAACCAUAAGAUGAUUAAAGAACAUAUAACGAGUAAGUUACAUAUAUGUUCAUGUGUGAUCCUAGGAUUGUUAGUAAUGGAGUACCCUUGGGAGUAGGGAUUGCGAAGGGAAACGGUUCAACUCAGAAGUUUGACGCGGUGAACUAGCAAGAUUAAAAAUGUUCUAGUGUUGAAGUGAAGAGUACAGGAAAAGAAAAUGUUGCGCCAUGAAUGGUUGUAUUAAGGAAAAAUAUCGGUAAGAGCCACCUCUAAAAGUUGUAUUAUGGGCUGAGAUUAUGAGUUCGAUGUCAUGAAAUGGGAGAGUAGGAUUUCCAAAAGUAACAUAAGCAACUACUAAUGCAAUGAAGAGUGAUGAUUAGUGAUCCUUGAACGACGAAUUGUGAUCGGUUAAGAGGUAAGUUGAGAAUUUGGACGAGGAUAUAGACAAGUUACUUGGUGAUGAAUGAAGCAUUUCUUGAAUUUCGCGGACGAAAUUCUUUUAAGGGGGGUAGAUUGUAACAACCUAACCCUAGUUAGUAAUAAUAGUGUUAAUAAGAAACUCAAUUUAGUAAUAAUAGUGUUAAUAAGAAACUCAAUUUGGUGAGUGUCAUUUUAGUAAAUUUAGGAAUUGUAUGAAAUGCACAUGUUUAUAUAAGAGCACCCAUAGUGAGAGAAACCAAAGUCUGUCCUUUUCAAUUCUUUCUCUGCUUCGUUGACAGCACAACACACCAAUUCCAUCUUCCAUUCUUCAAGUUCACUCAUCCAAACAUGCAUGUGGGUUAAACUCCAUCAUAGCCUUAUUUUGAAUCAAAUGGAAACAAGUUCAAAGAGUAAAACAAUCUCUCUUCUCACCUUGGCCGAACCAAAGCCUCCAUCUUAAAUUCCAACCCAUUUCAUGAUUAGAUCUAAAACUUCUACCAACGAAGGCUAUGGGAGAAAUUUCUAGUGAUUCAAGGUAAGUAUAAGCAAGGUAAGAGCCAUAAAUCCUAUUUUCUUCCUUCUAUUCAAGUUAAAUCUCAAAACCCCAAUCUUUAUGCCUUCUCUUUUGGUUGGUGCAUGUGACAAAUUGAGUAACCACAAGUUGAUGGAAGAUAAGGGAAAUCAAGUUGAGAGCCUCGUGUGAAUCAAUUUUAAGAACAAGGUAGUUUUUGAAAAGGUUGGAGGAGCUUGGGUCAAACCCGUAUUCUAGAACAGGGCUCUACUAAAACGGUAACUGCUCCUUCUGUGUAACUCUGAUGUAAAUUCCGCUUGAUGAUAUGGAAAGCUAACAAAAUUCCCUUCGAUUUGAGUACACACUUCGUAGGUUUUAGCUUAAUAUUGAAGUCUAUAGACGAGAUUGAAGUUAGGGUACUGUUGCUGCAAAUUGUUCAGAAAACUGGAUGCGAGUUUAGUGUGUUGCAGCUGUAAAUUUCGUCUUUUGACGAGUCCGGGAGCUGUCGAUGACAUUUCACAGUAAAGGGUUUCAAUGACAAAGUUCAAAGUUGGAAAUAAAACUACAGACUAGGAUCAAAUCAAAGAAUGAGCUUGUUGGAGAGAACUAAAAGUGGGAGCUUGGUACUAUCGUUGUGAUGCUCAAUUGUUGAGAAAGCUUCCAAUUUUAAAAGAUAAACAGAUUGAUCGAGAUAUCAUGGUCUGCAAGCAUGGAGUUCAGAUACUUGGAUUAUGCUAGUUGAGCUGACGUCAUGUUGUCUUAUAUUUUGUAUAAGAUUUAGUUUCUUUAUGUUUUUAGUUGUUAGCUCAAUUUAGUAUUAAUCUCUUGGAUUUUGUAAUCCUAUUUAUUUAUUUCAGACGAUAUGUAAUGAAAAUUUAGUGUUUCCCGAUUCAAUUA
Molecule: long non-coding RNA, 5786 nt
Organism: Trifolium pratense (red clover)
Lineage: Eukaryota; Viridiplantae; Streptophyta; Magnoliopsida; Fabales; Fabaceae
Exons: 3
Source: RefSeq, a predicted model, not a curated record